MicroRNA precursor from Equus asinus (donkey), 98 nucleotides. Lineage: Eukaryota; Metazoa; Chordata; Mammalia; Perissodactyla; Equidae. The record is from Ensembl.
CAUACUGUGUGUGGUACCCUACUGCAGACAGUGGCAAUCAUGUAUAAUUAAAAAUGAUUGACACCUCUGCAAGUGUAGUAACACAUGACACAUGAGAU